Panicum hallii is the source of this 370-nucleotide long non-coding RNA. RefSeq lists it as uncharacterized. The transcript is spliced from 3 exons. NCBI's taxonomy places the organism in Eukaryota, Viridiplantae, Streptophyta, Magnoliopsida, Poales, Poaceae. The record is from RefSeq and is a predicted model, not a curated record.
GGAUCAAAAUACACAGAUUCUUUGGAGUGACCAGGAACUGCCAGAGGCUGGCUUGAAACCAAGACGUCCGUCUGUCCUGUCCGCCACUCCACCCACUUCCAGCUGGCAGCUCUCUGUUCCGGAGUCCGGCAGAUCACAUACAUCCGUGGCGGAAACCAAAGGAUAUAGCCAUAAGAUGGCAAUGGAAAGCAAGAGGUGGCUUCUGAUGCGAUUCCAUACAUAGCCAUGCACAUUUCUAUGCUGUCGUCGUAUCCAGAGCCUCCCGAUGCAAAGCUCACACCCCUCCUGAGCUGGGCCAGCCUCAGGCUUGGGUCAAAGAAGCCUGGAAUAGUUCUCGCUAUACCUAGCUUCUCCGCUGCAUAUAUGACAU